Non-coding RNA from Coturnix japonica (Japanese quail), 4142 nucleotides. NCBI's taxonomy places the organism in Eukaryota, Metazoa, Chordata, Aves, Galliformes, Phasianidae. The record is from RefSeq and is a predicted model, not a curated record.
AGUGUGCUGAUUUGUGGUAAGGAGUAAGGAGGAUGAGUGGAAGAGCUCUUUUGGGAGACAGGCACCAGGCAGAGACAAUUGCAAAGGACCAGUUUACAGAAGUUUAAAGAUACCUGAUGUAUUACUUCAGCAGCAAAUUCAACAAGGCCAAGAUGUCUUCAUUUUCCUCCAGAGCAAGAUCUGUAAGAGCAGUGUGAUGGAAGUAUUGGUCUUCUGUGGCCAGCCGGCGAGAACCCAUCAACAGCUGUGAUGAGCAGAGCAGACAUGGAGAGACAGGAGGCAGCUGAAGCCAAAGAGGACCCACGCCUGGAGCUGUGUGUGUGUGAUUGGAGCAGAGAGAGGCCAGGACCCAAGGAAAUCCCAGCAGCAAGGGAAAAAAACAGAUUGACUCUCAGUGACUCAUUUAGCUCCUGGAUUGGACAGAUCUCUCCCCUGCUGGCAAUUUGGCUGAGCAUCAAUGGACAGAUACCAGGAUGAAUAGCUUAAAAUAAUUAGGGGUUGGGAAUCUGCAAAACUGCUAGCCAUCCAAUUCUUUACUCUGCCUGCAAUGUGAGGCACAAAAAAGAAAUUACAUUUAGGUUAUUAAAUAUUAAGUCAGUGGAUUUGACUCCAUUUGGUCCAGAACAGGAAACUGGAUAAAAUUCAACAUUUAUUUCAUUGUGUUGAUGGCCUGUUUAUCACUGAGCGGGAAAGGAGAGUAAAGAGGAAUUUGACAAAUGAUGGCAAUUGAGACUUCAUGAUUUAAGAACAGCAUCUGAAGCAGUUGCUCUGAAGAGGCUCUCGAUGUGAAAUGAGGUUGCCACAUGCUUGUCGGUGGUGAUGGAGAUACCUGGAGAUGGCUACAGGCGCCUUGCCCCUCAAAAGCUUCUUGUCUGCAAGAGUCGUGGAUGAAAAACACCAGGUAUUUCCAGGGAUACUGGAAUGGCACAAGUUCCAGGAAGUUUGCAGUGAAGUGUCUGCUUUCACUGCUCAGAUUCAAGCCCAUUAAAGGAUUUAAGGAAAUCCAUUCAGUGCUUUGCAAUUAGAACAAAUGUGAACCAUUCCAAUGAGUUGCAGAACAGUGAGGAAGAAGAGCCUGAAAAGGUAACUAAGAGUUAACUGGCUACAUUUCAGCUGUCACCAUUGUCUUACAUCUACAGAGAGAGUGGGGAGAGCCAAGGAGAUUCCCAGAAUAAUGAGAGCAGAUCUGCAGUACAGUGAGGAUCUGGCCUGCUACACUUCUGUGGUGUGCGUUGCAUUUCAGAGCCAGCACUUACCAGAGAUGAUGUUGCUGCUGCCUUUGCUGUCUUCCAGCUCAGAAAUCCCUCCAAACUACUGAAGUACAACUUGCUUCCCUGCCAGAAGAGCACAGAAGUGGAGCCCUGACCUGACCUUCAGAAAGCUGUGAGUGGAAAACCCAAGUUCUAAUUUCUCCUAGAAGAUGCAGGGACUGAGCUUAGAGAGGAGAUAUUUGAGUUCAAGCAACCUGGGGUCUUUGACAGCAUCAUCGCUAUUUCCCUGGGCUGGUUUCCCCUGCUGAGCUGUGCAUCACUACACAGGCUGGAUGAUGUCAGUGCUGCCCAAGCAAGCUUCAGUUUGGCUGCUGGAUAAAGGGGAGAGUUGUCGUCACCACAAAGACAGAAAACCAAAGAAAGCCUGUGUCUUCGAGCUAAAAAGCCAGCUAAAAUGAAGGCAUACGCCUCUCCUUUUGAUGUAUUAUGGAGGCAAUAACACACAGACAUCUUGGUGUUGUCUGUCCAUUGGCAGCACUGGCUCAUGAAGCAGUUCCCCACCCCCAGAUUUGUGUCAGACACUUCAGCAUGCUGCUCAUCUGUGGGAUUUUGCCAUUCUCCUGCAUUUCCAUGAGCAAUGCCACUGUCUCACACCUGCACCUCAGGUCAGUUGUUUAAAGACAGCUGCUGUUUGAUGGCACACACUAAAUGAAUUACUGUCCUCAGUUAUGACCUAUGAUUCUGGAGAAUGAGACCUUUGCUGGCCCCACUCAGGAAGCCAAGGGCUAGCAGAAGCAGAGGAAAAGUCCCACUGGGUCAAGGGAAGGGGCAUGGCAGACUAAUGGUCUCCAUUACCACAAGGAGAACUUUGUUCAACUUCUUAUGCCAGAAAGGACUACCCGGACUGGAAGGUAAAUCUUCCUGAAGAUAGAAGAAAUAGAGGUUAGAGUACCAUAUUUAUCUCCAGCUAGCAAAUAGUGAGAUACUGCAAAACAGAACUGGAGUUUCAGCAGAAGGAAUGUGCCACUGAAUGGUAACGAUGACACAGCCACGCUUUGCUCUUAGGUGGAAGACUGCUCUUCAGCAUCUGGCCCAGGUCAGACAGGUAUUUGCGUGUCAUAUGCGGCAUCGUACAUUGAAAAGCUUGAUGUGUGAGGAGAAUGGAGAUCGAGCACAUCCACAGUAGCAGCGCCUGGUCGGGUUCUCCAGGACGCUGGGGAAGGAGCAGCUCAGUGCUGCCCACAGGGUGUCCCUCCGGGGGAGGGCACACAGUGUGGCCGUGCAAUGUGCACAGAGCUGGUGGCACUCGCUGGAUUUUCCCAGAAGACAAACAGCACCGGUCCAGAUCAAACACCUCCCAGGAGAAGUUCAGACUUCUUUGUUAGAGAAAAUGAGAUGACGCCAAUUUUAUCCGUGUUAACUAACAGGGAGAAAGGGAGACAAACUCAGUGUGGUUAAUAUUCUGAAGAUGUGACUUAAUUUCAUAUGCUUCAUUCUGUCCCAUUUUUGCCCAGGCAGUGAAGUGCUAAAGGAAGAAACCCAACAGACCUCAGCACACUGGGCCGAGAAGUAGAAUCCAAAACAAAAUAGAUCUAUCUGCUAUUGGUUGUUGAGACAGACAAAUCUACGCAUCUGCUUUUUAUACAUCAGUGUCACAACAACAGUAAGUGAAGCUCAUUCCAUAACCAAACAAGCUGCACCUUCUUGAAAAUGGAAUUUAAAAACAUAAUCACACUGUAUUUCAAAUGCAUUAUUCUCAGGUAAGAGUCAAACAGCCGGUAAUGCUUAUUUGCUAUGAGUUGCAGCAGAGGCACCUUCUAAGGUCCCUGCAGUUCCCUGGCUGAGGGCAUACAACACAGUCACGGAUUCAUGUAACCUUUCUUGCUACAGAUAUGAAAAAUGAGGAGGUUGUCCUGCACAGACUUGAGGGGAAAGGCCCACUAAACAAAGCUGCCCUCUUCCUAAGCUUACAGAAAGUUCUCUCACUCUGGAGGGUGUUGGUUUUUUGUUUCCUUCCAGAGAGCAGACUGUAGCUGCCACCAGUUUGUUCUCAGAAGUAGCCCAGGAAUUGCAUUUUUCCAUCCUUAAGAUUAUCAGUUUUAUAAGUUUCUUGCACAGCAAACUCAACUUUACUUUGUUCAGAUCAGAACAGCUAUUGGACGCCCUUUUUAUCAGCACCCAUUUCUAGCACUCCACAUAAGGUAUGCACCUGCUGUUGCUUUUAUUUCUGUUAUUAUUUCUGGAUCUCUUAAAGCAUGUUCAUACACACUAAUGCUUGCACACUCACAGACACACACAUACCUCCAACACAGGCAGUUUUGCAGGAAGGAGCAGGACAGAGAGAGACCACAGUACCUACAACGUGUACCACACUUCACCGCAAUCUGGACUGUUGUGUAUUUGUUGUUACCGGAAGCAAGAAUCUCAAUGGAAACUAAAGAUCAUUUUGAAGCAGCAUCUCCCCGCAUCUACACCAAAAUUAACAUGGUAGUUUAUCAGGUUCUUUACUGGCAUAAGAUGAAACAAAAAAGAAAACCCACCAAAAACCUCCAAACCAGAACCUUAUUUUUAAAGGAAACUGACAAUUAAGGUAAUGACUUUGUUUCAGAGCAAUAUCUGGAAUGUAGCUUUGUUGUUUCUUUUCCUUUUUUUUUUUUUAAGAAAAACCAGCAACAUUUCUAAAACCCAAACUCCAUUCAGUGGUUUUCGUUUGACUUUUUAUUAUUUAAAUACACCAUACUAGAGCAAAUGUCUCUGAAAAUAUCACAAAUAAAAGAUUUUUCUUCAUUCAGCAAAUUAGAAGUAGGUGAAAAUUUCUACACAGUAGCUGCUAUGAGCCUGACUUGGUUUUUUUUUUCCUUUUUCUCCUUUUGUUUUUUUUUUUUUGCCAUGGGAAGUAGCAACAUUAGGACAAAAACACUUACAUGCAUA